Molecule: unclassified non-coding RNA, 860 nt
Filed under: Neodiprion pinetum (white pine sawfly)
Lineage: Eukaryota; Metazoa; Arthropoda; Insecta; Hymenoptera; Diprionidae
Description: extensin-3-like, transcript variant X5
Source: RNAcentral
CGUUUCGUCGUAUUGUUGAACGCCUGUCCAAAGAUUGGCACUUCCGAGACCCACCUGGUUUUUGACUGACUCAGACCGCGUGACGCUGAUUUGUUUGCCUCUUUUCAUUCCGCCGAAUCGCAGGGCGUCAACACUGUGAAGUGAUAAAAAAACGCCAACGCCGAAUUAACCACUGGUGAAAACGCAUUAAAUCCGCGGAGAAAUGUCUAAGGAUAAAUAGCGCAAAACAAUGAAGCGUAAACUUGAAAAUGUACUUGUGUAGACGGGAAUGGCAAAAUUGCUUCAGCAAAAUGUCGAUGCAUGCAAAGUUGUUUUCGCGAAUAUUUAACAAGCUUGGGAUUAGCCUGGUAAUUGUUGUUACUUAAACCCGUUCAUCGGCGAAAAAUUGCACCGUGUUACGAAACAGUACCAGAGCAAUUGCGCAUCACGGGAAAUGACUCAUCGGACGAGUCGAAACAUGUCCAGGGGGCUUCGACGCGCUGACGCAUGCCCAGAAAUAGACCGAUAACUCAGGGGAAUUUUCAAACGAUUCGCGGAACCAACGAUGAGUUUAGCCAAUGAGGAGCGAGGCAUAAACCACACUCUGAAACCGUGAUUAGAUAUGCCGGGAGUAUAAGAGCCGAGUGCUUCUCGGUGAUGAGCAGUGCUACGUGAACCGUCAUUCAGUCAACUGGCGAAGCAUGUAUCCCCACCACCCACCGCACGGCCCACCACCCCCGGGUCCACCUCACCAUGGGCCCCCGCAUCACCCACAUGGACCACCGCCACCACCACACCAUGGUCCACCACCGCCUCACUACGGCCCACCGCCGCCUCACCAUGGCCCUCCUCCGCCGCAUCAUGGUCCCCCACCACCACCU